GGGCAGGGGCCCGGCGGAAGCGCCGCUCUAGGCUGCAGCCGCGCCCCCAGCCGUAUUUCCGCGGGCGCUGAGCACUAGAGAGAGCGUCUUGUGGCUGCGGCCUGCCCCUCAGCCUCCUCCGCGCGGUUACCCCUGUACCCGCCGCCAUCCGUCCUGGCGCUCCGGAUGAGUCAAUGAGGGGCAGGGCCCGAGGAGUGGUCUUCCCAAGAACCCCUGGUGGCCUCCCAAGGCCGGUGCUGUGUACCUCCUCCCCGACAAAAGGGGAAACUGAGGCCCCGAGGGGAGUGGGAAGAGCCGGCUGGACGUCAGGCCCAGCCGCUGGUGCAGUGGUCCGUCCCCUCUGCCGGGGUGGGCCCCUCGGGUUUCGCGUGUCCUCGGGAAAGAGACUGGCGGGUGAGCCGCGCCCUCGGCCUUCGCUGGGCUAAGCCGACCCCAUGCAGACGUCAAACCCCCCUAGGUCGGCACAGCCUCUCUGCGGGGAGGCUUAGUGCCCCCUUGAGAAACGGCUUGGCAACGCUGUGCCCGGGGCCUUGCACGCGGGCUGAGGGGGCUAGAGACCUCGCGACUUUUACUCCCCCGACCCCGAUCUCCGACUCCUGACUUUGGAAGCCCCCAAAGCUGCUUUUCGGUUGCCUACAAAGUGUCGGUCAUUGUGCCACGUCCUUGGAACCGUGAACUCAUUUUCUCCUCAAUAACCUUUAAAAAGUAGCUGUAAAACCUCCAUUUUACAGACCAGUUGGCUGAGGUUUAAAUGGAGGACGCUCCCAGGGCCCCAGAGGGGCGAAUUCCAGACUCCUUUGCCAGGACCUUGUACUAAGCCCCUUCCCUACGCUUUUCCCUGCCUAGGCCUCGUGGGCUGUGCGGCUAUCCUGGAGACAGAUGACAGCUCUCCCUUGGAUGGCUUUGCUGGUUCCGCACCAGCCAGCGCCCCCAUUUUUCCUGCAGCACCCUGAUCUGCACUCCCUGAGGGGCUCCCACUGUCCGCGGUGUGAGGAUGUCCCUGGAUAGUCCACUGUGUGCAGAGGCAUGGGAGUUGUCAUGUUGGGAACAUGCUAGACCUCAGUAUCCUUGAGGGAUGCUGCCUUGGGUCUGGAAACUGUUAGAGGAAACCCCAAGAGGUGCAGGCACUGAGCCUCUCAGGACAAUGACCUGGGGUCCCAGCUCCCCUGGAGGGGCCUCCUCAUGAUUGUUUGGGGGUUGAUCACAGACCAAGAGUGACGAGUGAUGUCACCCUGUGACUCAUGGCUGGACCUUCUUGCCCCUAUUGUCUCAGCACAACAUUAUUCGACUUUUCCCUCAGCGUGGGUGGGCAGAGGAAAAGCCCUGUGGCUCUGGGGACUUGGGAUCCAGAGUUGAAGACCCUUCAGCUGGCUCUGCCCUGCCAGUGCCACAGAGUGCCAUGGCCCAGGAAGACAGGUUUUCUUCCAUCUAGGCCAGGCCAUCCAGUGGCCAUCCUCCGUGUCCUCCCGCCUCCUCCUGGUGUGACUUCUGAAAACCAAGAAUUUGUUCCUGUUGACUUUUUCUGUGCUAUGGACCAUUGUCCUCUCACCCACUCAAUAAAUCUUGAAACAUGCCCUGCUGCUUGUUCUUUCA
Long non-coding RNA from Homo sapiens (human), 1593 nucleotides. Ensembl annotates it as small nucleolar RNA host gene 11. Its record names the gene SNHG11. NCBI's taxonomy places the organism in Eukaryota, Metazoa, Chordata, Mammalia, Primates, Hominidae. The record is from Ensembl.